RNAcentral lists this ribosomal RNA (539 nucleotides) under Nakaseomyces glabratus. RNAcentral describes it as "LSU rRNA". It matches the Rfam family "Eukaryotic large subunit ribosomal RNA", at positions 59 to 595 of the family's 3401-position model. Lineage: Eukaryota; Fungi; Ascomycota; Saccharomycetes; Saccharomycetales; Saccharomycetaceae. The record is from RNAcentral.
AAGAAACCAACUGGGAUUGCCUUAGUAACGGCGAGUGAAGCGGCAAAAGCUCAAAUUUGAAAUCUGGUACCUUUGGUGCCCGAGUUGUAAUUUGGAGAGUACCACUUUGGGACUGUACUUUGCCUAUGUUCCUUGGAACAGGACGUCAUGGAGGGUGAGAAUCCCGUGUGGCGAGGGUGUCAGUUCUUUGUAAAGGGUGCUCGAAGAGUCGAGUUGUUUGGGAAUGCAGCUCUAAGUGGGUGGUAAAUUCCAUCUAAAGCUAAAUACAGGCGAGAGACCGAUAGCGAACAAGUACAGUGAUGGAAAGAUGAAAAGAACUUUGAAAAGAGAGUGAAAAAGUACGUGAAAUUGUUGAAAGGGAAGGGCAUUUGAUCAGACAUGGUGUUUUGCGCCCCUUGCCUCUCGUGGGCUUGGGACUCUCGCAGCUCACUGGGCCAGCAUCGGUUUUGGCGGCCGGAAAAAACCUAGGGAAUGUGGCUCUGCGCCUCGGUGUAGAGUGUUAUAGCCCUGGGGAAUACGGCCAGCCGGGACCGAGGACU